CCUUAGAGGCUGGAUACCAGCAUCCCGAGGAGGUGCCCUAAAUGCGCUCCGGCAGACGCACGCACUUGCCCGUCGGCUUGGGAACCAUCCUCUGGGAACCACGCUGAGCUUUUUUCAGCCCUGGCAUCCAACCUCGGAGAGCGGUUUGCAGCCACCCGGGCACGCGGAGCGGAGAAGGACGCACCGAGAGCAGAGGCAGAGGCUGAGAUCAUUUUCCCCUACUCUCCUAAUUAUGAUUCACCAGCCUGGGAGCCUCGGAUGGUGUGGGAUGGUACCAAGAAAUAUUCCAUGGCUGAUCAAUUUUCAUCAAGGCUGCUGCAAAACAACAUCGUUCUGACCCAGCCUUCUCCUGAACCACGACUGCCUUCUGAAGUAGAUACUGUUAGUAUCACCAUUUCACAGAUGAAGCAGCAAGCUGAGAGAUGGAAUGAUGCCCAGGGCCACACAGAUGGUGAGUGCCAGAGCCAGCAUUCAAAGUCAGCUCUGCCAUCUAAGGCCAGGCUAUGUCAACCCUUCCUCUGGGGACUCCUUCCAAGGUGCCCCAGCUGAAUACAGAGAGUGGGUACUUAAUGUUGGACUUCGACAUCUUCCACACUUCCAAAUGUUUCAUGUUAAGUUUCAUCUUCAGAAUAGAAGUUCUUCAUGAAAGAACAAAGAGAUAUAUUACCAGGAUCGCCAGUUAAUUUUAACUUGGAGGAUAUACAAGGCUCUUGUUGAAUUCAACAAGAGGAAAACAUCCAAGACUAUCAGAAAAUGGGGCAAUGAAAUGAACAGAAACUUUAUCAGAGAAGAAAGCUGAAUGGCUGCUCUUCAUCACUAAUCAUCAGGGAGAUACAGAUCAAAACAACAAUGAAAUGUCAUCUCACAUCACAGAGAUUGGCACACAUCUAAAAGAACAAAAGCAACCGGUGUUGGUGUGGAUGUGGGGAGAAAGGAACUCUCCUGCACUGCUGGUGGGAAUGCCGACUGGUCCAGCCUUUUUGGAAAAUAAUAUGGACAUUUCUCAAAAAACUAGAAAUCGAACUCCCAUCUGACCCAGCAAUACCACUUUUGGGUAAAUGCAAAAAAAAUGUAUAAAUGACAUCUGCACUUGUAUGUUUAUGACAGCACUAUUUACAAUAGCCAGAAUCUGGGAAAAACCUGAUUGCCCGAGAACAGAUGAGUGAUCAAAAAAACUUUGGUAUAUCUAUACAAUGGAAUACUAUGCAGCUGUUGGAAACAAUGAAAUCAUGAAAUUUGCAUAUAAGUGGACCAACAUAAAGAGUAUAAUGCUACAUGAAAUGAGUCAAAAAGAGAGGGACAGACAUAGAAUGACUGCACUCAUUUGUGGAAUAUAAAGUAACGUAAUAGGAGACUAACACCAAAGGACAGUAGAAAUAAGGGUCAGGAGGAUUGCCCCAUGGCUUGGAAGCCAAUCGCAUGUGUGGGGGGAAAAGGUAUCUUGGAUGGAGACAGGAGCACUAAGUAAUUGAUAGUUGGAAGGAUCACUCAGGAUGGUAGAUCGCCCGGUAUGGUAGUUGACUAUGGACCAAACAUGAUGGCUGUUUGAUAACUGUAUUGCAAACCAUAACACCCAAAAAGACAGAGAGAUUAAGAGGGAAUGUGA
Molecule: long non-coding RNA, 1606 nt
Organism: Sorex araneus (European shrew)
Lineage: Eukaryota; Metazoa; Chordata; Mammalia; Eulipotyphla; Soricidae
Exons: 6
Source: RefSeq, a predicted model, not a curated record